RNAcentral lists this long non-coding RNA (729 nucleotides) under Volvox carteri. Its description in RNAcentral is "long non-coding RNA (VCAR_LNC001192)". Lineage: Eukaryota; Viridiplantae; Chlorophyta; Chlorophyceae; Chlamydomonadales; Volvocaceae. The record is from RNAcentral.
CGGGAUCACGGCGUAAGGCCAGAAUAUGCAAAACAACACCAUCAUACAAGUAAAACAUUUGAUAUGCGAUUGCAUUGAUGAUAAAGCCCACGAACGAAGCCCGAAAAGGCCCGGUACCUCCAGGACAUGCGCCGACACGCGCAGGCGAGGCAAAGUGCAACGCCUCAACAAACCCAUCACAUCGUGUGUGUCACGUAGGACGUUAAAUUGGACUGGACCUGCUUAAAUUAUACAUAGCUAUCCGCGCUGCACAAAGUACAUAGGGGUACAUAACUCUUAGAUGGUAGACCCGGUACAAGGAAUUCGGGGCAAAUGGACUGCCGCAAAUGCAUAACGGAAUCUGCAAGCGACGGCAAGGCUAUCUGUGCCCAACUGAAUUGCAAGUCGUCCAAGGGCAUUUUCAAGCAACGGCAAGGGUAUCCGAGGCGUACUGUAAACGGAUCUUGGGAAGGGCGCCAGGGGCAGCCGCGGAAGAUUGAGCUGGCCUAGCUCUGCCUAGCCGGCGUUGCUUCCGUUUGGGCUCCAUCUGUCAGUAAUGUGUCUGAAUGCGUCGCAUGAUGAUUUAGGUGAACAAGGAGGUCAAGUCAUAAAACGUAAUGCGUUUUCCAGCUUACGGUGUCCUUCCCAUUCCCAUUCAUUUACAGGUAGCCCAUUUUCGGAUACCUUACGGACCCCAUCAGUUAGUUACUCGAUUGAGUUGUUAACAAUUCUGGAAUGCCUGUGACCUGC